AUUGCUAAGAAUCAGUGAGCUCCAAGAUCCUCGGAAAUGGAGAGCGAUUGGGGUAAAUUCUGCCUCAUUGCCUGCCAGACCUUGCAAUGAGCAAGCUCGCUUCUGCCCCAAAAGCGGGCUUAGGUCAGGUGUUAAAGGCUGAGCACCGACACCGGAGCCAUACCAAAUCACCUGAAGACGUUGGCCUGGAUUUUUCAAAGCAUGGAGAGCAUCUCCUAGAGACGGAGUCUGUCCAUCGCUUUGGCCCCUAGUUGGAGUGGGAAUUUGCUUUCCCCAUCUGUGCUCAACGCUAACACCAUGAGUCAGGUUAUGCACUGCUUCUGCUGCUUUUGAAAGAAGAAAUUCAUCUUGAUUCUGGAAAUAUUGCACUCCUGGGCCAGCUCUUGCAGAGCGUUCUUGCUGUCAUGUGGAGUAAUGGGAAGGAUUGGAGAAAUAGCCAGGGGUCUGAAAUACACAGUCGUGAGACUUGCCAAAAUGCCUGACUGCUCCAGAGGGGCAGGCUAGUUCAGGCUUUCGAUGGCUGACAGAUCCUGAGUGCCCAGACAUUCACCCCAUCCCAGAGCUGCUGGAGGAGACCCUACGGUUGCUACAGCCUUGACAAUCAGCUGGUUCUGUGGAGGACAGCCACAACCCCCAGAUCCUGUUCAGGCCACAUACAAAAGCUCUGUGUGUUGCAAGAGGACUACAGACCACCCUUGGGAACUGUUGAUGGGCAGCUUCCCGGCCUCCUGGCCCCACAGCAUCACCCUGAACUCAUCGUUUCUGCUGAGCCAGAGGCCUUCCAUGAGUUAGCCUGAAAUGAAAAUGCUUGUUUUCCUCUUGCACUGAGUAAGAGACUGACAAUAUCUAAUUGUCAAUACCCCUCCCUUGAGAGACAUGCAACAGCGUUGCUCCUCAGGGCAUAUUCCCCUCUGCUGUAUUUAGAACAGUUUGAAAAGACCAAAUUUUAAAAAUAAUAAUCUUUCCAAAAACUCCCCACCCACCAGCACUCCCCUGCCAAAUUUCAGUUUGAAGAAAAUGAAAAAGGACAAGUUUAUACACUCUGAUGAACGGGAGUUCAAAAUGGAACCUGAACAUCAUAAUUCUUGCAAAUGUACACUGAUAAUGGAAAGCAGUGGUGAUGAUGGCAUUGUGCCCAGAGGGGCCCUUUGUUGUAGAUGCUUUUGGUGUUGCUUCUUUUUGCAGUUUAUAUUAAAGGUGAAAACAUCUGUUUUCUUCA
Molecule: long non-coding RNA, 1219 nt
Organism: Harpia harpyja (harpy eagle)
Lineage: Eukaryota; Metazoa; Chordata; Aves; Accipitriformes; Accipitridae
Exons: 2
Source: RefSeq, a predicted model, not a curated record